This 465-nucleotide ribosomal RNA is filed under the name uncultured Klebsiella sp. RNAcentral's name for it is "bacterial SSU rRNA". It matches the Rfam family "Bacterial small subunit ribosomal RNA", at positions 338 to 795 of the family's 1533-position model. The record is from RNAcentral. Lineage: Bacteria; Pseudomonadati; Pseudomonadota; Gammaproteobacteria; Enterobacterales; Enterobacteriaceae.
CCUACGGGUGGCAGCAGUGGGGAAUAUUGCACAAUGGGCGCAAGCCUGAUGCAGCCAUGCCGCGUGUGUGAAGAAGGCCUUCGGGUUGUAAAGCACUUUCAGCGGGGAGGAAGGCGUUAAGGUUAAUAACCUUGGCGAUUGACGUUACCCGCAGAAGAAGCACCGGCUAACUCCGUGCCAGCAGCCGCGGUAAUACGGAGGGUGCAAGCGUUAAUCGGAAUUACUGGGCGUAAAGCGCACGCAGGCGGUCUGUCAAGUCGGAUGUGAAAUCCCCGGGCUCAACCUGGGAACUGCAUUCGAAACUGGCAGGCUAGAAUCUUGUAGAGGGGGGUAGAAUGCCAGGUGUAGCGGUGAAAUGCGUAGAGAUCUGGAGGAAUACCGGUGGCGAAGGCGGCCCCCUGGACAAAGACUGACGCUCAGGUGCGAAAGCGUGGGGAGCAAACAGGAUUAGAUACCCGGGUAGUC